UACAGAGGUCCCAAGCGUUGUUCGGAUUCACUGGGCGUAAAGGGUGCGUAGGUGGUGGGGUAAGUCGGAUGUGAAAUCUCCGAGCUCAACUCGGAAACUGCAUUGGAAACUACCCUGCUAGAGGGUCGGAGGGGGGACUGGAAUACUUGGUGUGGCAGUGAAAUGCGUAGAUAUCAAGUGGAACACCAGUGGCGAAGGCGAGUCCCUGGACGACUCCUGACACUGAGGCACGAAAGCUAGGGGAGCAAACAGG
Molecule: ribosomal RNA, 253 nt
Filed under: uncultured bacterium
Lineage: Bacteria
Description: partial 16S ribosomal RNA
Rfam family: Bacterial small subunit ribosomal RNA
Source: RNAcentral